This 251-nucleotide ribosomal RNA is filed under the name uncultured bacterium. RNAcentral describes it as "partial 16S ribosomal RNA". It matches the Rfam family "Bacterial small subunit ribosomal RNA", at positions 524 to 775 of the family's 1533-position model. The record is from RNAcentral.
UACGUAGGGUCCGAGCGUUUGUCCGGAAUUACUGGGCGUAAAGAGCUCGUAGGUGGUUUGUCGCGUUGUUCGUGAAAACUCACAGCUUAACUGUGGGCGUGCGGGCGAUACGGGCAGACUUGAGUACUGCAGGGGGAGACUGGAAUUCCUGGUGUAGCGGUGGAAUGCGCAGAUAUCAGGAGGAACACCAGUUGGCGAAGGCGGCUCUGGGGCGUAUACUCUGAGGACGAAGAACGUGGGGGAGCAAACAG